AUUGAACGCUGGCGGCAGGCCUAACACAUGCAAGUCGAACGGUAGCAGGAAACAGCUUGCUGUUUCGCUGACGAGUGGCGGACGGGUGAGUAAUGUCUGGGAAACUGCCUGAUGGAGGGGGAUAACUACUGGAAACGGUAGCUAAUACCGCAUAACGUCGCAAGACCAAAGAGGGGGACCUUCGGGCCUCUUGCCAUCGGAUGUGCCCAGAUGGGAUUAGCUAGUAGGUGGGGUAACGGCUCACCUAGGCGACGAUCCCUAGCUGGUCCGAGAGGAAGACCAGGCACACUGGAACUGAGACACGGUCCAGACUCCUACGGGAGGCAGCAGUGGGGAAUAUUGCACAAUGGGCGCAAGCCUGAUGCAGCCAUGCCGCGUGUAUGAAGAAGGCCUUCGGGUUGUAAAGUACUUUCAGCGGGGAGGAAGGGAGUAAAGUCAAUACCUUUGCUCAUUGACGUUACCCGCAGAAGAAGCACCGGCUAACUCCGUGCCAGCCGCCGCCGCGG
RNAcentral lists this ribosomal RNA (506 nucleotides) under uncultured bacterium. Its description in RNAcentral is "partial 16S ribosomal RNA". It matches the Rfam family "Bacterial small subunit ribosomal RNA", at positions 30 to 523 of the family's 1533-position model. The record is from RNAcentral.